AGAGUGAACGCUGGCGGUAGGCCUAACACAUGCAAGUCGAACGGCAGCACAGUAAGAGCUUGCUCUUAUGGGUGGCGAGUGGCGGACGGGUGAGGAACACAUCGGAAUCUACCUUUUCGUGGGGGAUAACGUAGGGAAACUUACGCUAAUACCGCAUAAGACCUUCGGGUGAAAGCCGGGGACCUUCGGGCCUGGCGCGGAUAGAUGAGCCGAUGUCGGAUUAGCUUGUUGGCGGGGUAAAAGCCCACCAAGGCGACGAUCCGUAGCUGGUCUGAGAGGAUGAUCAGCCACACUGGAACUGAGACACGGUCCAGACUCCUACGGGAGGCAGCAGUGGGGAAUAUUGGACAAUGGGC
This 356-nucleotide ribosomal RNA is filed under the name uncultured soil bacterium. Its description in RNAcentral is "bacterial SSU rRNA". It matches the Rfam family "Bacterial small subunit ribosomal RNA", at positions 26 to 376 of the family's 1533-position model. The record is from RNAcentral.